UCGAGAAUCUUCGGCAAUGGGCGAAAGCCUGACCGAGCGACGCCGCGUGGAGGAUGAAGGCCUUCGGGUUGUAAACUCCUGUCGAGGGGGAACAAGGGGCCGUGAAGAGCGGUCCUCGAGUGAUCCCUGGAGGAAGCACGGGCUAAGUUCGUGCCAGCAGCCGCGGUAAGACGAACCGUGCUAACGUUAUUCGGAAUCACUGGGCUUAAAGCGCGUGUAGGCGGUCCGGCACGUUCGUCGCUGAAAUCCCUCGGCUCAACCGGGGAACGGGCGCGGAUACGACCGGACUGGAGGGAGGUAGGGGGAGCUGGAACUUCCGGUGGAGCGGUGAAAUGCGUUGAGAUCGGAAGGAACGCCCGUGGCGAAAGCGGGCUCCUGGACCUUGCCUGACGCUGAGACGCGAAAGCCAGGGGAGCGAACG
This 421-nucleotide ribosomal RNA is filed under the name uncultured Planctomycetaceae bacterium. RNAcentral's name for it is "partial 16S ribosomal RNA". It matches the Rfam family "Bacterial small subunit ribosomal RNA", at positions 355 to 774 of the family's 1533-position model. The record is from RNAcentral. Lineage: Bacteria; Pseudomonadati; Planctomycetota; Planctomycetia; Planctomycetales; Planctomycetaceae.